ACGACGCUGGCGGCGUGCCUAACACAUGCAAGUCGAGCGAGGAGAUUCCUUCGGGAUGAUCCUAGCGGCGGACGGGUGAGUAACACGUGGGCAACCUGCCUCAUAGAGAGGAAUAGCCUUCCGAAAGGGAGAUUAAUACCUCAUAACAUUGCAGUUUCGCAUGGAACAGCAAUUAAAGGAGUAAUCCGCUAUGAGAUGGGCCCGCGGCGCAUUAGCUAGUUGGUGAGGUAACGGCUCACCAAGGCGACGAUGCGUAGCCGACCUGAGAGGGUGAUCGGCCACAUUGGGACUGAGACACGGCCCAGACUCCUACGGGAGGCAGCAGUGGGGAAUAUUGCACAAUGGGGGAAACCCUGAUGCCAGCAACGCCGCGUGAGUGAUGACGGCCUUCGGGUUGUAAAGCUCUGUCUUCAGGGACGAUAAUGACGGUACCUGAGGAGGAAGCCACGGCUAACUACGUGCCAGCCGCGGC
Molecule: ribosomal RNA, 472 nt
Filed under: uncultured bacterium
Lineage: Bacteria
Description: bacterial SSU rRNA
Rfam family: Bacterial small subunit ribosomal RNA
Source: RNAcentral